This 348-nucleotide ribosomal RNA is filed under the name Hyperolius ocellatus (golden-eyed reed frog). RNAcentral describes it as "partial 12S ribosomal RNA". The record is from RNAcentral. Lineage: Eukaryota; Metazoa; Chordata; Amphibia; Anura; Hyperoliidae.
AAAACAAAAAAUACCGGAGCAAUGUUGAAACUUAAGGACUUGACGGUGUCAAUCAACCUAGAGGAGCCUGUUCUAUAACCGAUGAUCCCCGUUAUACCUCACCUCUUUUAGCUAAUCAGCCUGUAUACUUCCGUCGUAAGCUAACCAUGUGACUGUUACAGUAAGCUUAAUAGUUAAAACGUCAGGUCAAAGUGUAACCUAUAAAGAGGAAAGAAAUGGGCUACUAUUUCUAACUCAAGAAAAAACGAAGCAUCAAUAACUGCUAUGAAGGCGGAUUUAGAAGUAAAGUGAAAAUAGCGUGUUCACUUUAAUAAUGUACUAGGACAUGUCACCACCGCCCGUCAUCCU